CCUACGGGAGACAGCAGUGAGGAAUAUUGGUCAAUGGCCGCAGGGCUGAACCAGCCAAGUCGCGUGAGGGAUGACGGUCCUAUGGAUUGUAAACCUCUUUUGUCAGGGAGCAAAGGGCGCCACGUGUGGCGCUUUGCGAGUACCUGAAGAAAAAGCAUCGGCUAACUCCGUGCCAGCAGCCGCGGUAAUACGGAGGAUGCGAGCGUUAUCCGGAUUUAUUGGGUUUAAAGGGUGCGCAGGCGGAAUGUCAAGUCAGCGGUAAAAUUUCGGGGCUCAACCCCGUCGUGCCGUUGAAACUGGCGUUCUUGAGUGAGCGAGAAGUAUGCGGAAUGCGUGGUGUAGCGGUGAAAUGCAUAGAUAUUGCGCAGAACUCCGAUUGCGAAGGCAGCAUACCGGCGGCGAUCUGACGCUGAGGCACGAAAGCGUGGGUAUCGAACAGGAUUAGAUACCCGGGUAGUC
Molecule: ribosomal RNA, 459 nt
Filed under: uncultured bacterium
Lineage: Bacteria
Description: partial 16S ribosomal RNA
Rfam family: Bacterial small subunit ribosomal RNA
Source: RNAcentral